GGAACUAACCUUUCCCCUCUCUUAUAACUGUCCGAAGAACCCCCUAUCCCCCAAAAAACCCCUCGCUUCGUCUCUCUAAAAAAUUCCCAUACACUCUCUGAAACUCCGCCCUAAACCGCCGCCGGGAAUCGCCUCAAGGCGGCGAAACUUCUCCAAAUGAACCCAAAUUUUCACCAGUUAACCCCCGCUGCCUCCUCUAUCCAAAUCCCCAAAUCAAUUCCCUCGAAUUACUCUCAAAAGCCUCGAAUUUCAAAUCUGAGUUUCAACCUAGAAACCCUAGUUUACCCAAAUCACCCCAAAAUCAUACCCCAUAGUCCUCACACCCCUCUGAACCCUAAACCACAACCAAUUCCCCAAAAACCCUAGCCAAUUUCUUCGAAUUUCCAAUCUGAGCUCUUGUGCCCUUCUUCUUUUAGUCAGAGUUAUGGCAUUUGAACCCCAAACUUUCAUUAGCCGACUGUUCUUGUUGAGAACAGUAAUGUCAGUUCAAUGUUCAUAUUACCCAUUUGCUUCAAAGUUUGGUCAAGACUUGUUUUGUUUGGCUUUGUUUGGUCCGUAUGGAAACAAGUUUGGUAACUCUUUUUGCCUAUCUUUUCUCUUUUCCUUCUCUGAGAAUCCCUUUUCAUUUCCUUUCUUUUAUGUUUAGUAGCAUGUUUUAGGUUUUUUUUUCUUUUCAGAAUCUUCUGUUUGUUUUUCUUUGCAUCCAGUAAUUAGUUUAGUCAAAAGCAUAUGAAAAUUUCAUUGUAUAAGGAUUGUUUGUAAUUGCAUAAAUUUAGUUUAAUCCUUAGGGUCGAUACAUGAAAUGAGCUUGCCUGUUUCUCCAUUUUUUCCUCUUGGGUUCAGUAUUGGUUUAGGAGCAUUUUUAGCCUAUCUUUGCAGCCCUAUGUUAAUUUCGUUUGAUUACUGAUACAUUAAUCAUUGAACUUUAAGCUUUGUUUAGGUUUAAUUUAGAUAAACUUUUUGUCUAUCAAUUAGGUUAAUUUUAAUUUAAAUUGCAUCAGCUCUCUUACCUUUAUUUCUGUUAACAUCUUUUGCAUCUUUUGAUUUGUUUUGAUUGUGUUUGACCUGAUUUGAAAAUCAAUAGAAAUCUUAGGGACCUAAUUGAACUAAAAGAAUUUAGGUUAAAGAUGAAAUAUGCAGUAACUUAAAGGGUAAAAUUGGACUUUCACUUAGGCUAAAAUCAGAAGGUUCUAGUAUUUAGGACAACUGUCCCUAUCCUUAGCAAAAUGCUAAUAUUGGAUAAGAAAAAAGGACAUACAGCUGUCAAAAGAUGUUGUACUAUCCUAAAAAUUCAAAAUAUUAGGUUAGAAUAUGUCUUUUUGAUGCUCUUUUGGUACACUCUAUAAGAAGAAAAUAUUCCUUCACUCAUAUACAGACAUUCGCCAUUAUUUGCCUGCAUAAAGGCUUUGAAAAACACAUCAAAUUUUUAGAAACCUAAAGAGCACAAAAAUUUUUUAGCUAUUGUUUCAUUGAAAGCUGAUCGAUUUCCUUGCUGAUUUCGACAAAAGUUAGAACAAGUUUUGCUCUGAAAUUUCUGGAUUCUUAAGUUGCAAGAUGGCUUGAGUUUGAAUGCUGUGAUAUUGCUGGUUUUUGGCUGUUUAGUUUUAUUGAUUUUUGCUCUGUUUUUGCUGCUUUUUCUCCUUGAAGAUUCACAACCUUGUUCUUAUUCUUUGUAACUAGGUAUAUCUUGAGCUUUGAAACAUGAAUAAAAGUUUGUUUUGAAGAGUGUCUUGCUGCCAUGAAGCCUUGGAGUUCAUAUUUACACAUUUUGUUUCUUCUUGAUGUUUUACCUUUAAGUCAUUUGAAUACUGCUCUUUUGGCUUUUCUUAUUAGCUUAUGUGUAGUUACCUUAAAGUCUUGUAGUGAGGAUUCAUAAAAUAACUAGGAUAUUUAGUGUUGAUAGGGUGUGAACAACACCUCUUGCAUAUGCUGAGUUUAGGUUGAGUAGUCCAGUUCUAAAAGAAAAAAUGUUUACUUUCAGUAUUUUGCUACCUCCAUGUGAUUCUGUCCAAUAUUUUUACUGAUUGUUAAUAGGUGAGCUUUCCAUAAGUGUUGGGUAUGGUCAAAACUAGGCUAUGAUUGAUGUGUAAGUACUUUUGGAUGAAGUGUUCAGCAUUACUACAAAUGUGUAAAAUGAUUAUAUGCUUUUGCUGCUUCAUGUUGAAAAAAUGUUAUAGAUAGCGCAACUUAGAACUUAUAACAUACAAAUAAGGUGUUCAAAUUCUAUAGUAAAGUUCAUGUAAAUAACUAUCUUCUAUUUCGAGUAAAGUAUCUCUGUUCUUUGAUGGUUUAUUCUUGAGUUAUCUCUCUGUACGAAAAACUUUGUAAUACUAAACACCCUCGUGUAUGUGGAAGCCUUGGACAUAACAGGGCUAAAAGUCAAUAUUUCAUUUUUUAGGCUUGGUCUCAAGUUAGCCAUCUUAGAGGUUCGUCGUUAAAAAGGACUUUCUGGCCUAUAUGGUAGGCCAUUUGUGCUGUCAUUUUGGGCUUCAGUCUACGCCCACAUCAUGCUAAUCUAGGGCAAGCCCAGUUUUUUUUAAAAGAGGAAUUAUAUUGAAUUGGUCGAAAUGUUUUACAUCAUAUAAAGAUUUACAUGUCCACUCAAAAAAUGGUUUCUAUAUUUAUUAUCUUUAGAAGUCUACUUUCAAUGGGGAAAAAGUAGUAGAUCACCUAAAGCUUCGUUUCAUACCAAUGGACAGUGAUAUUAAUAUGGUCUUUUCUUUAAGUUCGUAACCUUUUUUCUUCCUUUAAUAGUACAAGUUUUCACACGUAAUCUCAAUUUUAGGCAUUCAAAUACUCCUUAAAUUCGUAGAAGCUUUAGGAGUGUGGUUUAAUUUAUUAUCGUGAUUGUGUACACGUUCACGUGACAUGAUUAUGAUCCUAAUAACAAAUUCGAGGUGUGCUAUACACAACAAAAAUCCAUAAGCUAUGGCUCUCACAUUAGUAUUACUUAGAUAUUUAACAAUCCUAAAUAAUCAUAGUUUGCUUUAGGCUCGAUUUAGACUAGUAUUGUGAUUAUGUAUACGUUUGCGUAACAUAAUUACAAAUUUAAUUCUAAAAAUAACUCGAGGUAUGCGUUCGCGCAACUUCAACCAAACUUUUCUUAAUAAAAUAAGCAAAGCGUUAUUAAUUGUGGACACGUUCGCGUGACANNNNNNNNNNNNNNNNNNNNNNNNNAAAUCAAGUGAUUAAAAGCAGUAAAAGGUAAAUACACAUAGGUUCUAAAAAAUAAGUAAUUAGACAACUUAAGCCAAGUAUAAAUUGCUAAGUGACCAUGCUAGAACCACGGAAUCCGAGAAUGCCUAACACCAUCUCCCAGGUUAACAAAAUUCCUUACUUAGAAUUUCUGGUUCGCAGACUUUUAAAUAAAGUCGAAAACUUCCUCGAUUUGGGAUUUAAAAUAAAUCGGUGACUUGGGAUACCAAAUAAUUUAUUCCAAGUGGAGACUCUGAUAAAUUAAUUAAUCUCAUGUCGAUUUAUGUCACUUUAAUUGGAAAAACUCCCAUAUACCCUCAAAGUAUAAAAAAAGAGGUGUGACAGCUCUGGCGACUCUGCUGGGGACAAGAACCCAGAACUUCUGUUUCAGGGUUCAAGAAUGCGAGCUUGUUAAAUGUGAUUUUAUUUGGCUUUAUUUUCGAUAUUACUGUAUUUGGUGGGUUUAAUGUGCUAAUUGCCAUUUAUUUACCGCUUUGAUAUUUCUUGAACUGUAUUUAAAUGUCUUCUUAAGCCUCCCUUCCGAGUCUUCUAAAAAGCGGUGCUCACGUUCGCGUGACCCACUUUUCUGUUAGAGUUAUACCAAAUAGAACAGGGUUGGUCAAGCAAUAAGGCUAGGCAGACUUUCGUGCUCCCGGUACGUUGCCCCCUCCUCGACUCGAGUUUGUCCGCUUGGGUAAGCCAGGUUUAGAACACAACCCAACGUUUAAACUUAGAAUAACAUAACCUCAUGCCAGAUCCCCAGUAGGAACGUUUAUUUGCAUCACGUGCAUUUGACCUUGGGGACUCAACAUAGGGGUUGGGUUCGUCUAGGACAAGUGUACCCAAAAUAAAAACCAUCCUGAUGCAUCCUACAUGCUAUGUGAAUAUUUAUUAGCUUGCAUGUUGUCUAGUUAGGAAAAGGAAACAAAGAGAAAAACCAAGAGUGAGAUAGGAUAGAGAAUUUACCCGGUUCUAAAAAUCCCAAUAUUUGAAAAUGUCUCGAAACUCUGCCAAAAUUUUUGAAAAAAAAAGUGAAAAAAGGAAAAUGUAUUUCAAAAAAAAGUGUUAGUCAAAUAUCAUAUUUUUUUAUGUCAAAAUUGAUCGAACUACGCAGGUCUGAUUCUCACCGGAUGUGGGAUACGUAGGCAACCCACAUAAGGUUCGGCCUCAUCUUUUUACAAAAAAAAUGAUCAAGUAAAGUGUAGUUUAGGGCUUUGGUCAAAAGAAUAAGUCGACCCAGCUUCGGUUGUAUUUUUAAGUCGUUCUUACCGGAAUAGCCUUAGAUUAUCUUUUAAUUGUCGAAAGGCUAUUUUCGGGAAGAACGAGCCAGUCUGUCUGUAAGGUGUCUUUUUCCAUAAAAUACUUUCCCCCGGCCUCAAAAUUUAUUUGGAAUUGUGAAGGGGCCACAUUUACAAAAACGACCAUUUUUACUAAAAGUAGAAUAAAAGGGGUCUUUGUCCGUUGAUUUUCUUUAGAAAUUGAAAACUUGUUUUGCAAAAAGAGUCCACAAGAGUCAAUCCUAACCUUAACCCUCCACAGGUACAAAUGAAUACUGUCCAGAACCCGUCACAAAUGAAUACUGUCCAGAACCCGUCACAAAUGAAUAUUAUUCAGAACCCAUCACAAUUGGUCAUAGAAUAGGCUCAGCUGCAGCUUCGCAUGUGGUGGAAUGAUUUAGAUAAAGAUGGCUAGGAUUGGGUGAAAAAGCAGUUGGGUUCCCUUAUAGACAUCAUGAGCAUCGAACCCCGGGAGGAUUUAAUCAAAGCCUUGGUAACCUUUUGGGAUCCUGUCCACAACGUGUUCCGUUUCUCCGAUUUCGAGCUCACCCCUACUCUAGAGGAAAUGGCCGGAUACAUUGACUUUGGCCAAGACUUGAGGAAACAACAACUCAUAUUCCCAAGGGCUCCCUCUGUGCACAAGUUCUUCGAUCUUCUGAAUAUUAGUAAAAAAAUGAAGAAGGCUCAUGUAAGCAAAGGAUGUUGUUCUUUCUACUUCUUAUAUGUCAGGUUUGGGCAUUUAACUGGGUUUGAAACACAUAAAAAAGGGUUAAACAACAAACAAGAUAAGAGCACCUGGAAAAUUCAUCGUUGGUUCGUGUUUAUUGUGGCGUUUUUGGGGAUCAUGGUCUUUCCAAAUGCAGAAGGGACAAUAGACACUUGCAUGGCCAGAAUUGAACAACUCCUCACUACCUAGGAAGAUCACACGCUUGUUUCGUUAGUACUGGCAGACAUUUAUCGAGCAUUAACAUUGUGUAAAUCCGGGGCUCAAUUCUUCGAGGGUUGCAACAUUGUUCUUCAAAUAUGGUUGAUCAAACAUCUCCGCCAUCACCCCAAGUUCAUGAGUUACGAUGUGGAUGGGAACAACUUCAUAAAGAGUUAUGAAGAGAGGGUGAAAGAUUACAAAACUCUAGAAGGUUUUGAGGCUUGGGUUUCCCACUUAAGGACUUUAAAGGCAAGUCAAAUUGAAUGGAUUCUAGGGUGGCUUCCAAUAAUAGAAGUCAUAUACAUAACAUCUUCAAAAGGCUACUUGAUGAUGAUGGGCCUGAGGAGUAUCCAACCAUAUGCACCACAAAGAGUUCUAAGGCAACUGGAAAGGUAUCAAGUGGUACCCGAAGAUGUAGAUUUGAGUACCCAAGUCAUUGAGCUACACCCAGAAGCAACACUGCCUGAGGCUUUAGUCCAACGGGAUUAGAAUGGAUGCUGAUAUCUAAAAAUGACAUCCAGGUACCGGAUCUUGCGAGAGGGGAAGUGGAUCCAAAUUAUGAUGCGUGGUUUGAGAGAAGGUUUUGUGCAAAUAAUGAGCCCGAGCCUGAAAGGCCCGCCAAGAGAUCUCAUGUUCAAGCUUUUGAUGAUAAAAUUCGGGAAAGGCUGGCCUGGGGAGAGAAGGAGAAAAAUAUCAAGCCACCAUUCACGCUUUGCAAGAAGAAUUGAGAAAUGAGGUAUUCAAUAAUGAUCUACAGGCACAAGAAGUUGAAAGUGAAAGAAGAAGGUAGGCCUAAGAAAAUGAAGCUCUCUAGGCCCAAGUUCGAAAAAUGAGAAUAGCAGCUGAGAACUCGGGCAGAAGCAGGAAAGAUGAAAGGCUCAUCUACAACCUUACGCAAAAAGUGCGUGACUGUGAGGAUGAUUUGCAAAAGACUGAGUCUGAGCUAGUAAAAGUACGAACGAAGUUGGCCAAAAAUGCAGAAGAAUUCGUUCGACAGUUGAAGGAAAGAUAUGACAGAAGGGGUCAUGGGCUGGAAAAAAGGAGCUUAAUAGCCUUGAGGGUGAAAUGACUAAACAAGCCAAGAGCUUCAAAGCCGAGAGAGAACAUUGCUAUGCUUUGAUGGCACAACUAGAGGGAGACCUAUAGCAUUUGCAAGAACAGAAUCAUACGCACACCCAGGUCUUAGAGGCUAGAUCUCAGCAGAUUGGGCGGUUGUUGCAAGAAAAGGGCAUCAUCAGGGAAAGGGUUAGAAGAAUCGCCGACUACAUUGUGAUGAAGUGCAACGAGUGCGAGGACAUGACCAGGUCCAUGUUCUUCGCCACAGUAAUGAUCUUUGUUCGCCAGAUAAUGGAUGAUCUCUAUCGCCUCCAAGAUGACAUGGUGCGUAGGUCGCAACAAGACCAGUUGGUGUUCCUAGGGCAGGAUUGGAGGCACUGAUGUACUCUUGAUAUUUUCUCUUUUUCGAGUCUGUAUUUUCAUUCCUAAAGUAUGUUUCGAGUCUGUUUUAGUUUUAAAUUCUCAAGUAUGUAGGAUCGAGUCUUUGUAAUAGAGAAAAAUUGGAAGUCUUGUUUUAAUGAAAAUUUGAAAAAACCAAAAAUAUUUUAUUUAUUUCAUUUAUUCAUUGAACUAUGUGAUGAUCCGAUUCGCGUGGAAUCGUGAUACGUAGGCAAUCCCAUUCGGAUCCAGUCAUGGUUUUUAAAUAACUCAAAUAAAAAUGAAAAUGUUGAAAAGAGAAAACCAAAAAGAAAAAGCAAAAAUAAAAUAGAGAAAACAAGGAAAAGAGAAUGAGAACAAGAGAGAAAAUAAGAGUGCAAAAGAGAGCAAGAGAGAAGAUCGGGGAGAUAAACAAAAACUGGGAUGAGACAUACAGUCGGUGCAAAACAUGUAGAAACAUAUUUAACUGUAUAAGUGCAUCACACCCCUAUGUGCGAUUGCCUAUGUGCUAAUUGCUUCAAACUAACCGGUUUGUUGUCUACUGUUGAGUAUAGGUUCUAUUUUUAAGGUGGUUGGUUUGUGGUAACCUGGCUUCACACCCUUACUUUACAAGAUCCAAGGUUAGUGUAGAAAUGUCAUCAGGAGGUCAUCCACCAACAAUUCCCAUCCCAGAGGAUAGCCCGCUAUCGAUUAUCCCAACCUCAAAGUCAGCGGCUGCUGAAGAGAAUAGGGCACUGCACCUCCGCGUGCUGGAAAUGUGGGACGCUUGGUCCAAUGGUAGAGAGCCGCCAAGUGCCAUACCUGGUUUCCCCGAGCUACUUCCUAGAGCAAGUGGAAAUUCCAACGUCCCAAUAAGUUACCCAAAUACCCUACUCGGAUACCCCACCAUCUCAGCUCACUUCGCUGGAACACCUUCUGAGGUUCGCCCCCAGGUGAUUUCGGGAGUGGCCUCUAACAUAUUUACCGCACCACCAACUUCGGCUACGUCACAACCAGCUUUUUCCAGGCCAAGCUUUGAUCCAUCAUCCUUCACUUUCCAAGUACCAUCUUUUCCACCAGACCCUACCCAUUUCACCACCAAUUCUUACCCUUAACAACCACGGUACAAGUUUAAUGCGGGACAAGAGAAGGCUACAAAGAACCCCGAGCAAGAGUAAAUCACUCGAAAAAUAAGGAGCAUGGAAUAGAGCCUCAAGAAUAUACAAGGCUUGAGCGACCAAAAGAGCAUAUCCUACGCUGAUCUAUGUAUGUUCCCGCAUGUGCAUUUGCCCCUCAGUUUCAAGACCCCCAAGUUUGAAAAGUAUGACGGGCACGGGGACCCCAUAGCCCACCUCAAGAGGUAUUGCAAUCAAUUAAGAGGGGCAUGCGGAAAAGAAGAGCUCCUAAUGGCUUAUUUCGGAGAGAGUCUAGUUGGCAUUGCAUCUGAGUGGUACAUGGAUCAAGACAUGUCUCGCUGGCAUAUAUGGGAUGAUCUAGCUCGAGAUUUCAUCAGACAAUUCUAGUACAACAUAGACAUAGCUCCAGAUAGAAAUUCCCUCUCUAAUCUCAAAAAGAAUUCUUUGGAAAGUUUCUGAGAAUAUGCUGUUAAGUGGCGCGAACAAGCGGUCAGGGUGAAGCCCCCGAUGGAUGAUACCGUGAUGUUCAGUGUUUUUCUACAAGCCCAAGAAGCGGACUACUUUCAGAAUAUGAUGUCUGCAAUGGGAAAGCCGUUUGCUGAGGUUAUCAAAAUUGGGGAGAUGGUCGAAAAUGGUCUGAAAACAGGUCGUAUAUUGAGCCAAUCUUCUAUAAGAGCUAUGUCCCAAGCAAUCCAAAGCGGGUGAGGAGGCGUAGCAAACAAAAA
RNAcentral lists this long non-coding RNA (8671 nucleotides) under Nicotiana tabacum (common tobacco). Its description in RNAcentral is "long non-coding RNA (NTAB_LNC013287)". The record is from RNAcentral. Lineage: Eukaryota; Viridiplantae; Streptophyta; Magnoliopsida; Solanales; Solanaceae.